RNAcentral lists this ribosomal RNA (407 nucleotides) under uncultured bacterium. Its description in RNAcentral is "bacterial SSU rRNA". It matches the Rfam family "Bacterial small subunit ribosomal RNA", at positions 355 to 761 of the family's 1533-position model. The record is from RNAcentral.
UGGGGAAUCUUGCGCAAUGGUCGAAAGACUGACGCAGCGACGCCGCGUGCGGGAGGAAGCCCUUCGGGGUGUAAACCGCUGUUACUCGGGACGAACUUCUCGAUUCAUCGAGAUUGACGGUACCGGGGGAGGAAGCACCGGCUAACUCUGUGCCAGCAGCCGCGGUAAUACAGAGGGUGCGAGCGUUGUCCGGAAUCACUGGGCGUAAAGGGCGCGUAGGCGGCUUCUCAAGCGUGCGGUGAAAGCUCGGGGCUUAACUCCGAGUCUGCCGUGCGAACUGGGAGGCUUGAGUCUGGUAGAGGUCGAUGGAAUUUCCGAGUGUAGAGGUGAAAUUCGUAGAUAUUCGGAAGAACACCAGUGGCGAAGGCGACUCACUGGACAUGUAUUGACGCUGAGGUGCGAAAGCG